GACGAACGCUGGCGGCGUGCUUAACACAUGCAAGUCGAACGGAAAGGCCCUGCUUUUGUGGGGUGCUCGAGUGGCGAACGGGUGAGUAACACGUGAGUAACCUGCCCUUGACUUUGGGAUAACUUCAGGAAACUGGGGCUAAUACCGGAUAGGAGCUCCUGCUGCAUGGUGGGGGUUGGAAAGUUUCGGCGGUUGGGGAUGGACUCGCGGCUUAUCAGCUUGUUGGUGGGGUAGUGGCUUACCAAGGCUUUGACGGGUAGCCGGCCUGAGAGGGUGACCGGCCACAUUGGGACUGAGAUACGGCCCAGACUCCUACGGGAGGCAGCGGUGGGGAAUAUUGCACAAUGGGCGGAAGCCGGAGGCAGCGAGGCCGCGUGCGGGAGGACGGCCUUCGGGUGGAAAACCGCUUUCGCCUGUGACGAAGCGUGGGUGACGGUAAUGGGAAAAGAAGCACCGGCUAACUACGU
Molecule: ribosomal RNA, 467 nt
Filed under: uncultured bacterium
Lineage: Bacteria
Description: partial 16S ribosomal RNA
Rfam family: Bacterial small subunit ribosomal RNA
Source: RNAcentral